Molecule: ribosomal RNA, 274 nt
Filed under: uncultured bacterium
Lineage: Bacteria
Description: partial 16S ribosomal RNA
Rfam family: Bacterial small subunit ribosomal RNA
Source: RNAcentral
AUACGGAGGGUGCAAGCGUUAAUCGGAAUUACUGGGCGUAAAGCGUACGUAGGCGGUUCGUUAAGUUAGAUGUGAAAGCCCCGGGCUUAACCUGGGAACUGCAUUUAAAACUGGCGAACUAGAGUUGAGUAGAGGGGAGUGGAAUUUCAGGUGUAGCGGUGAAAUGCGUAGAGAUCAGAAGGAACACCAGUGGCGAAGGCGGCUCCCUGGACUCAAACUGACGCUGAGGUACGAAAGCGUGGGUAGCAAACGGGAUUAGAAACCCCAGUAGUCC